CUACCUAACAUUAUUGGCACGUGUACCAUGUUUCAGGCAUAUGUAUUGUUUCACGUUAUUCUUAACACUUCACUGAGGUUGCACCAUUUUAUGUAUGAAGGAAAUGAAGCAGAGACAGGUUAACUAACUCAUCCAAGGUCAUACAUGUAGUAAAUAGUGGAGGCCCUUCGCACAACUAACAGCCUGGCUUUCACAGGCUGGCAUUUUCUAACUCUCAACACUUGGCUUAUACCUGCUUCUUCAUCUUGAAUUACCUUCUUCUUGCUUCCUCUCUCUCUUUGUACCCUUUGACCUACACUUCUGCUUUCCCCCACCCACCAUCCCAGCUUCUGGUAACAAACAUUCUACUUUCCUUCUUUUUUCUUUUUAUUUUUUUAUGUUUUUGAGACAGUCUCCAUGUGCCGCCCAAGCUGGAGUGCAGUAGAGCUAUCUCAGCUCACUGCAACCUCUGCCUCCCAGGUUCAAGUGAUUCUCCUGUCUCAGCCUCCUGAGUAGCUGGGAUUACAGGCGCCCGCCACAACACCCGGCUAAUUUUUGUAUUUUCAGUAGAGAUGGGGCUUCACUGUGCUGCCCAGGCUGGUCUACAACUCCUGACCUCAUGUGAUCCGCCUGCCUCAACCUCCCAAAGUUCUGGGAUUACUGGCAUGAGCCACCGCACCUGACCACAAACAUUCUACUUUCUACUUCUAUGAUUUCAAAUUUAGAUUCCACAUGUAAGUAACUCACAACUUAUUCAUGUGAUUUGAUGUUGUUCUAGAAUCCAUCACCCUGCUUCCCUUUUCUACAGGCCUUGUGACUCCUUCUUUCCCACUGUACUUGGUUCUCUGCUUUAACUGACUGGAACAUCCCUAAAUCUACUGAAGUGAUCCCCAACUCCCAUGUCUCUGUUUCCCACUUGCAAUGACUCUGCCCCAUUCCACUGACCAUGAGAGCCCUGUUCCUGCCAAUGUCAUAACUCUAGCUACCUCUAAUCCUGUGAGCUGCACCUAGA
RNAcentral lists this long non-coding RNA (991 nucleotides) under Homo sapiens (human). RNAcentral's name for it is "HSALNT0171590". The record is from RNAcentral. Lineage: Eukaryota; Metazoa; Chordata; Mammalia; Primates; Hominidae.